GAUGAAGAACGCAGCGAAAUGCGAUAAGUAAUGUGAAUUGCAGAAUUCAGUGAAUCAUCGAAUCUUUGAACGCACAUUGCGCCCCUUGGUAUUCCGAGGGGCAUGCCUGUUCGAGCGUCAUUAUAACCCCUCAAGCUCAGCUUGGUGUUGGGGCCUGCCGCACGGGCAGCCCUUAAAAUCAGUGGCGGUGCCAUCUGGCUCUAAGCGUAGUAAUUCUUCUCGCUAUAGAGUCCCGGUGGAUGCUUGCCAUUAACCCCCAAUUUUCUAUGGUUGACCUCGGAUCAGGUAGGGAUACCCGCUGAACUUAAGCAUAUCAAUAAGCGAGGA
Molecule: unclassified non-coding RNA, 327 nt
Filed under: soil metagenome
Description: partial contains 5.8S ribosomal RNA, internal transcribed spacer 2, and large subunit ribosomal RNA
Rfam family: 5.8S ribosomal RNA (bases 1-120)
Source: RNAcentral